CUGUUAUGAUAUCCUGGGUGUGGGGGGGUCCCAUGACCCCUACAGUGAAGACGAGAUAUGAACAAACAGGUAUCGAUCGACAAACAGGUAUCGAUCGAUAAACAGGUAUCGAUCGAUAAACAGGUAUCGAUCCACAAACAGGUAUCGAUCGAUAAACAGGUAUCGAUCAACAAACAGGUAUCGAUCGAUAAACAGCAGCACAAUAUCUAUGCUGUUCAAUGUGGUAGGCUAUGUCUGUCACGGAUUAAUUGAUGUUAUUAGUACAUGUUGUCAUUUCUACAUAAAAGGUUUUAAGUCAGGGACAGUAACAUUACAUGUUAUCUGUGAUACAAACUGACAGCCCUGUCAUCAACCCUGUCACCCUGUUUGGUGCAGAGAUAGCGAACAGAAUGAACUCAUGCAGACAUCUGAUCAAUGGAACUUUGAUGUACCUGUCCAGGUUGUGACUCAGAUAGGUCAUCCCAUCCAAGUAUUGCCCAGGCAGGGAGUCGUCUCCCAGCUCUCGCAGGUCCUCUGCCCUUAGGUACUCUCCCCCGUCUCCUGUCAUGGUAUCUUCACCUGUAGAGAGGGACGGGCUAGUGUCUCAGUGUCUCAAAACUCGAUAUGUCCCAGUAAGACAUUUGAUCCUUUUAAAACGUUAAUACUCAACCUCACUGAGACACAUUGCUAUAGUUAUCAACAGGACAGCAAACAAGGGACCAAUGUCAGCUUCAAGGCAGAGUGGCAUACACAGCAUCUGGCUGCUGCCCACUGCUGAUCAUGAUUUCAUAUUCAAAAAGUUUGAAAAUUGUAGUGCAAAAGGUUAUGGUUAGUAUCUCACACACACACUUAUCACAUCAAUUGUUAUUAAUACCACUGAUGCAUACUAGUAAACAAUACCUUGGAUGAGUAAAAAUAUGUACAUUACAGCCAAAAUUAUGAUUGUCGUUAUCACUCAAGGUUGAUGUUACACUGAUUGUCUACCCAUAAAAGCAGGAAUUGUAUGCUUGCAUAUAAAGACUUUUGGUGAACACACACAAACCAUGCUGUUAGACGGCUAAAGCUAGAGUCUAAGGUCCCACACCAAGCUUGCUAUAACCAGACAUGUCAAAGGGCAACACAAGCCCUCAUAUCACCUUUAAAACAGAACCGACAGAACUCAUUCCUGCUUUAACAUGCCUGAAAGAGGAUGACACCUCAGGCUCCUGGCCUCAGUGCUUAACAUUCCACUGCUUAUGGUAGAUCACAUUAAGGAGAUAUUGUCUAGAAAUGUCACUGAAAGGUCCCUUCCAGAAGUAAUGCAAGUUCUGUCAAUUCUAUUUUGGCAACCAGGUACCUUCCAAUUCCACUGAGACGUCUGAAUAAGGGUCCUCUUCAAUCUGUUGCAAGGCUACACAACACACAGCCACUAAGCACCAGUGGGCAAAAUUCUUGAAAAACUACAUGGCCCAUAAUUCACCACACCAUUCCCCAUUGUCUGCCUGCCAUUUUUAUGUGACAGGUCCUCUCACACAAACAUACAUACCCACGUUACAUUAUGUUACAGACUUGUGAACUGCUGCAGUUAAUCAUGCACUGAUGGAUAGGAUUCACUUACCCUCCUCAUCAGAAACAUCCAAGACUUCAGUCAUUGUCUCCGGAACAUUCAGCUUAUGUUUCUCAGUAACGGUCUAUGAUUGGGACAUUAACAGACAACAAAAUAUCCGAGUUGAAAAGAAACCCACAUGGAAAUGGCGCUUUCCCAAAGGCACUAAUAACUGCCAAGGCUGCCAUUAAACCACAGUAAAAAAAAAACUCUGGAUGCCUCUGGAUGCCUCUGUGUCAAACAACAACCUUUUAAAGAUAAAAUAACUGAGAACGUUGUUUCCAAGCAAUUUUUCUUUAACUCAAGAGGUCAUUAAAGACAUUAAAGAUUUCAGACAGAGGGUGAAUAGAGAUGUACUAUUCUAGUAGACCCCAAAAUAAAAUUACAAACAUUGGAAAUGGAUGGAAAUAGAUCCUGUUUAAAAAUAUAGCCAGAAUCGAUUAUUCAGUGUCCCAAAAAGACCAAGAGAAGCUCAUCCAUGCUUUUAUUUCCAGUGGGGUGGACUACUGUAAUGGUAUCUUAACUGGUCUGCCCAAAAUGCCAUUUAGCACCUGCAGCUCAUUCCAAAUGCUGCUGAUUGAGAGAACAGAGCACAUUACUCUACUUCUAAAAUCUUUACACUGGCUUCCAGUAUAGUGACAUAAUCAAUUUUAAAGUGCUGCUACUAGUUUAUAAAUCACUGAAUGGUUCAGGGCCAGAAUACAUCUCUGAUAUGUUUAAAGAAUAUAAACCAAGUGAGGCUCUUAGAUCCAUGGACUCAGGUCAGCUAGUGGAGCCCAGAGUUGAAACUAAACAUGCAUUAGCUGCAUGCAUGCAACUGGCACAAAAUGUAGCAAUCCAGGUUAAAAACAUUUCUCAUUUCAUGCGGCUAUGUUUGAGCUCUAAGAUUUGCACUCUAGCAGUAACUAUUCUUACUGCAUUUUACUUGUAAUUAUACUACUCAUCUUUUAAUUAUGGUACUCAUAUUUGAAUUGCUAUUUUAUAUACUUUGUACUUAUAUUUAUAUAUAUGCUCAUAUUUUUAUCUUUCAGUGUUUUUAACUCCUUGUGUGGUUGCUCCUUGCUUGUAUGUGUCAAGCACUCCGAUUUUCCUCUAUUUGAGUAUGAAAUGUGCUAUACAAAUAAAUAUCCCUUGCACACAUUGGGCAUAUGUGCUACAAUAAUUCAAGAGACAUCAGGUCACUUACUGUAGUGGUGGUGAUAAUUUCCUCUGUGACUACUUUCAGUGUGUCCACUACUGAGAUGUAGCCAAGGCGUUUGGCAAUGGACAGAGCAGUGUUUCCAUUCUAUGCAGGAAUAAAAGAUAAGAAGAACCUCAUCACAACUAUAAUGACCACUUAGCAAGAUCAUCAACAUCAUCCUAAUCAAUAUACUGUAUGAUAGAUGCAUGGGCAUAGACUGGCAUAAAUGUAUUACCACAGUGGUGGCAUUGGGUUUGGCUCCAUGUUGUAGCAGCACAUUGAUAACAUGUGUGUUCCCUUGUUGAGCUGCUUGAUGAAGAGGUGUGUAGCCACUCUGGAAAGGACAGAUAUCAGCAUUUUAAAUAUUUCAUUUUUGAUUGAUUGAUUGAUUGAUUGAUUGAUUGAUUGAUUGAUUGAUUUUACAUGAAAUAUAGAAUAUACUUGUGGUGAGCCAACAGAUAUGAAAGUCGUCAGGGAUUAAAUAAAAUGGUCUGACACUUAUUUCCAUCAUGUCCAUAGUCAAUUCACUGUUGAUAAUAGUCAUCUAUUCCUUGAAAUGUCAUAAAGUCCUUUGGAAAGAUUUACCUUUGUUUUGGCAUUGACACUGGCACCUUGCUGCACGAGGAAGUUUACCAUUUUGACAUUUCCAUAGUGACAGGCUACAAUAAGUGGGGUGUAGCCAAGCUGUGGGAAAGAGACAUAAAUGUAACCAGGGCAAUGAAGACCAUGUUAUGAAACCAACAUUUAACAACAAGAUGUGACCCCUGGAGUGUGAGGCUCCUCUGAACCCAAUGCAGGUCUACAUUAUGAUAAAUCAUUGCUAUGUGGCACCAAAAUAAUAAACAUGCUCUGCCACAGGAGUGAAUGGUUAGAGAUCUGACUCAUGAGGCUGUUUAAAGAGUGAAUGGUUUAAGAUCAGACUUGUGAGGCUGUUUAAAGAGUGAAUGGUUUAAGAUCAGACUUGUGAGGCUGUGUAAAGAGUGAAUGGUUUAAGAUCUGGCUCAUGAGGCUGUGCUUCUCUUACCUUUGUCUGAUGAUCGAGGUUAGCGUUAUUCUUGGCCAGUGUCUCUGCAGCACUCACUCUGUCCUCCUGUGCUGCGAGGUGCAGUGAUGUCAGUCCACUCUGUGACACAGAACAGUGAGACUCAGUACAUAUCUAAAGGUCCCACUAUUAUAAAGCACAAUAAGUUUCAUUGAUCAAAAAACCAGUGAACAAUACUCGUAUCCUAGCCUACUGAAGGAUAUGAUUGCAUGGUUGGAA
This is a long non-coding RNA of Clupea harengus (Atlantic herring), 4005 nucleotides long. The record is from Ensembl. NCBI's taxonomy places the organism in Eukaryota, Metazoa, Chordata, Actinopteri, Clupeiformes, Clupeidae.